Molecule: long non-coding RNA, 205 nt
Filed under: Apteryx rowi (Okarito brown kiwi)
Lineage: Eukaryota; Metazoa; Chordata; Aves; Apterygiformes; Apterygidae
Description: lncRNA (ENSARWG00000004200.1)
Source: RNAcentral
CAACAUCUUGAGCUAUAUUCUUUAUGACUAAAGCCAUGCUGAAUGUAAGGAUCUGAGGGCAGAGCUUACAGAUUUUGACAAGGAAAACUCAGUCAGAUUUAAACCUUUGCGAUCGCUUCAAAGGAAGAGAGCACUAAGGUAAGGUCAAGUUUUCUUGCCCAGUGGAGAGGACUAGUUGCACGAAUCUACAUUUAUUCUGUUGUCA